AGUCGAACGGCAGCGCGGGGCAACCUGGCGGCGAGUGGCGAACGGGUGAGUAAUAUAUCGGAACGUACCCUGGAGUGGGGGAUAACGUAGCGAAAGUUACGCUAAUACCGCAUACGAUCUAAGGAUGAAAGUGGGGGAUCGCAAGACCUCAUGCUCCUGGAGCGGCCGAUAUCUGAUUAGCUAGUUGGUGGGGUAAAGGCUCACCAAGGCUUCGAUCAGUAGCUGGUCUGAGAGGACGACCAGCCACACUGGAACUGAGACACGGUCCAGACUCCUACGGGAGGCAGCAGUGGGGAAUUUUGGACAAUGGGCGCAAGCCUGAUCCAGCAAUGCCGCGUGAGUGAAGAAGGCCUUCGGGUUGUAAAGCUCUUUUGUCAGGGAAGAAACGGUGAAGGCUAAUAUCCUUUGCUAAUGACGGUACCUGAAGAAUAAGCACCGGCUAACUACGUGCCAGCAGCCGCGGUAAUACGUAGGGUGCAAGCGUUAAUCGGAAUUACUGGGCGUAAAGCGUGCGCAGGCGGUUUUGUAAGUUUGUCGUGAAAGCCCCGGGCUCAACCUGGGAAUUGCGAUGAAGACUGCAAGGCUUGAAUCUGGCAGAGGGGGGUAGAAUUCCACGUGUAGCAGUGAAAUGCGUAGAGAUGUGGAGGAACACCGAUGGCGAAGGCAGCCCCCUGGGUCAAGAUUGACGCUCAUGCACGAAAGCGUGGGGAGCAAACAGGAUUAGAUACCCUGGUAGUCCACGCCCUAAACGAUGUCUACUAGUUGUCGGGUUUUAAUUAACUUGGUAACGCAGCUAACGCGUGAAGUAGACCGCCUGGGGAGUACGGUCGCAAGAUUAAAACUCAAAGGAAUUGAC
Molecule: ribosomal RNA, 856 nt
Filed under: uncultured bacterium
Lineage: Bacteria
Description: bacterial SSU rRNA
Rfam family: Bacterial small subunit ribosomal RNA
Source: RNAcentral